This is a small nuclear RNA of Camelus dromedarius (Arabian camel), 100 nucleotides long. The record is from Ensembl. Lineage: Eukaryota; Metazoa; Chordata; Mammalia; Artiodactyla; Camelidae.
GUGUUGUAUGAAAGAGAGAAGGUUAGCACUCCCCUUGACAAGGAUGAAAGAGUCACUCGGGCCUGACAAUACGUAUCUAACCGUCGUGGGGUUGUUUUGC